AUUGAACGCUGGCGGAAUGCUUUACACAUGCAAGUCGAACGGCAGCACGGACUUCGGUCUGGUGGCGAGUGGCGAACAGGUGAGUAAUGUAUCGGAACGUGCCCAGUCGUGGGGGAUAACGUAGUGAAAAUUACGCUAAUACCGCAUACGAUCUAUGGAUGAAAGCGGGGAUCGCAAGACCUCGCGCGAUUGGAGCGGCCGAUAUCAGAUUAGGUAGUAGGUGGGGUAAAGGCCCACCAAGCCAACGAUCUGUAGCUGGUCUGAGAGGACGACCAGCCACACUGGAACUGAGACACGGUCCAGACUCCUACGGGAGGCAGCAGUGGGGAAUUUUGACAAUGGGCGAAAGCCUGAUCCAGCCAUUCCGCGUGCAGGAUGAAGGCCCUCGGGUUGUAAACUGCUUUUGUACAGAACGAAAAGGUUUCUACUAAUACUAGGAGCUCAUGACGGUACUGUAAGAAUGAGCACCGGCUAACUACGUGCCAGCCGCCGCCGUAA
Molecule: ribosomal RNA, 498 nt
Filed under: uncultured bacterium
Lineage: Bacteria
Description: partial 16S ribosomal RNA
Rfam family: Bacterial small subunit ribosomal RNA
Source: RNAcentral